CCGGAUGCCGGCAGGGUCCGGUAUGGAGAGCGCCCGCUCUCUCGGGCGCAUCUUCAUAGACUUGUUGCUCAAUGGAGGACUUGGAUAUGAGGA
Molecule: regulatory RNA element, 93 nt
Organism: Sphingobium sp. EP60837
Lineage: Bacteria; Pseudomonadati; Pseudomonadota; Alphaproteobacteria; Sphingomonadales; Sphingobiaceae
Rfam family: Repression of heat shock gene expression (ROSE) element
About the family: This family represents a 5' UTR cis-regulatory element found in heat shock mRNAs and is known as the ROSE (repression of heat shock gene expression) element. The ROSE element is a negative regulator of heat shock gene expression.
Source: Rfam